UACGUAGGGUGCGAGCGUUGUCCGGAAUUAUUGGGCGUAAAGAGCUCGUAGGCGGUCUGUCGCGUCUGCUGUGAAAACCCGAGGCUCAACCUCGGGCUUGCAGUGGGUACGGGCAGACUAGAGUGCGGUAGGGGAGAAUGGAAUUCCUGGUGUAGCGGUGGAAUGCGCAGAUAUCAGGAGGAACACCGGUGGCGAAGGCGGGUCUCUGGGCCGAUACUGACGCUGAGGAGCGAAAGCGUGGGGAGCGAACAGG
Molecule: ribosomal RNA, 253 nt
Filed under: uncultured bacterium
Lineage: Bacteria
Description: partial 16S ribosomal RNA
Rfam family: Bacterial small subunit ribosomal RNA
Source: RNAcentral